RNAcentral lists this microRNA (24 nucleotides) under Gossypium raimondii (Peruvian cotton). Its description in RNAcentral is "gra-miR8673". Lineage: Eukaryota; Viridiplantae; Streptophyta; Magnoliopsida; Malvales; Malvaceae. The record is from miRBase by way of RNAcentral.
AAGAUAUGUAAACCUUGAGGGCUA